Molecule: ribosomal RNA, 288 nt
Filed under: Triticum aestivum (bread wheat)
Lineage: Eukaryota; Viridiplantae; Streptophyta; Magnoliopsida; Poales; Poaceae
Description: partial small subunit ribosomal RNA
Source: RNAcentral
GGAUGUAAAUGCCUAAUCAUCAACUCUGGCAAUUUGGAGGUGACUGAGACCAUGCAGGACGGAGGACAGUCAACAGGAGCGGCGGCGUCAAUCUUCGAUGACUGCUAUCACUAUGCUUGUGAUUUUAUCAUGACUAAAUUCGAACAUUGUAAUAGAGAGGCAAAUAAAGUAGCACAUGAACUUUCCAGAUUAGCUAGAUUUUUUUCGACUUCGGAUUGGUUUGAGGAGCCUAUUAGUGAAAUUUUAAUGUUUCUCACAAACGAUGUAGUGGUUAUUGCUAAUGAAUAA